Molecule: long non-coding RNA, 604 nt
Filed under: Manihot esculenta (cassava)
Lineage: Eukaryota; Viridiplantae; Streptophyta; Magnoliopsida; Malpighiales; Euphorbiaceae
Description: long non-coding RNA (MESC_LNC007705)
Source: RNAcentral
GAUUAUUCAGCCUCAUUCUCAAACCAAAAUACUCAGGAGGUGGAUGAAUCUGGCUCCCCAUCUUCUGAAGCUGAGAAGCUGUUUACUCCUUGCUUGUCAUCCCAUUCACCAACAUUCUGCAAUUCAGAUUCAGGUUCAGAUCUCUUCUGCAACCCUGCUCCGUUAUGUCUCUUGUGUUCUGAAACAAUUGUUAAUGAUAAUACCCAUCAAAGAUUUCAUGGAGUAAUAUGAUGAGCAAAAAAGGGUAUUAAGAAUAGUUACUUUUAUUGUUAAUCGCACUGCGAGUAAUUGCCAAAAAUUCAUCCCAUUUGUAUUUUCUAAGUUCUUGCUUCUCCUCCUCAGAAAGCUCAAAGUUUGGUUCCCUCCCACACAUGAAGGCAGCCCUGCAGAUGCAAAACCUUUUCGGUGAGUUUUAGAAGUUUGUUUAGGCGAACCUCACAAGGUCUGUUUUCCCUGGAGAUGAUGAUGAAGAUGACAUAUUUCCAGAUAUGAUGUUCAAAUAAAACAUCUUAAACAAGGGGAAAUAAAAAAAUCUUCCUCUUGUUUUAUUAGCUUUUUUUUUUUUAAAAAUGCAUGGAAAACCAGCACAAACAUGAGAUACAAG